GAUGAACGCUGGCGGCGUGCCUAAUACAUGCAAGUCGAGCGAACGGACGAGAAGCUUGCUUCUCUGAUGUUAGCGGCGGACGGGUGAGUAACACGUGGAUAACCUACCUAUAAGACUGGGAUAACUUCGGGAAACCGUAGCUAAUACCGGAUAAUAUUUUGAACCGCAUGGUUCAAAAGUGAAAGACGGUCUUGCUGUCACUUAUAGAUGGAUCCGUGCUGCAUUAGCUAGUUGGUAAGGUAGCGGCUUACCAAGGCAACGAUGCAUAGCCGACCUGAGAGGGUGAUCGGCCACACUGGAACUGAGACACGGUCCAGACUCCUACGGGAGGCAGCAGUAGGGAAUCUUCCGCAAUGGGCGAAAGCCUGACGGAGCAACGCCGCGUGAGUGAUGAAGGUCUUCGGAUCGUAAAACUCUGUUAUUAGGGAAGAACAUAUGUGUAAGUAACUGUGCACAUCUUGACGGUACCUAAUCAGAAAGCCACGGCUAACUACGUG
Molecule: ribosomal RNA, 497 nt
Filed under: uncultured bacterium
Lineage: Bacteria
Description: partial 16S ribosomal RNA
Rfam family: Bacterial small subunit ribosomal RNA
Source: RNAcentral